RNAcentral lists this transfer RNA (69 nucleotides) under Colletes gigas. Its description in RNAcentral is "tRNA-Ile". Lineage: Eukaryota; Metazoa; Arthropoda; Insecta; Hymenoptera; Colletidae. The record is from RNAcentral.
AGUAAUAUGCCUGAUAAAAGGAAUAUUUUGAUGAAAUAUUAAUAUAAAUAUAUAAAUUUAUUAUUACUA